ACGGAAGGCAGCAGUGAGGAAUAUUGGUCAAUGGGCGAGAGCCUGAACCAGCCAAGUAGCGUGAGGGAAGACUGCCCUACGGGUUGUAAACCUCUUUUGUCCAGGAAUAAAAAAUCCCUCGUGAGGGAUCUUGCAGGUACUGGUUGAAUAAGGACCGGCUAAUUCCGUGCCAGCAGCCGCGGUAAUACGGAAGGUCCGAGCGUUAUCCGGAUUUAUUGGGUUUAAAGGGUGCGUAGGCGGGAUGCCAAGUCAGCCGUAAAAUCGUCGAGCUCAACUCGAUCUCGCGGUUGAAACUGGCGUCCUUGAGUACACUAGAGGGCGAUGGAAUUCGUGGUGUAGCGGUGAAAUGCAUAGAUAUCACGAAGAACUCCGAUUGCGUAGGCAGUCGCCUGGGGUGCCACUGACGCUGAUGCACGAAGGUGCGGGUAUCAAACAGGAUUAGAUACCCUGGUA
Molecule: ribosomal RNA, 453 nt
Filed under: uncultured Prevotellaceae bacterium
Lineage: Bacteria; Pseudomonadati; Bacteroidota; Bacteroidia; Bacteroidales; Prevotellaceae
Description: bacterial SSU rRNA
Rfam family: Bacterial small subunit ribosomal RNA
Source: RNAcentral